Long non-coding RNA from Heterocephalus glaber (naked mole-rat), 4972 nucleotides. RefSeq lists it as uncharacterized. Lineage: Eukaryota; Metazoa; Chordata; Mammalia; Rodentia; Bathyergidae. The record is from RefSeq and is a predicted model, not a curated record.
CCCUCUGAGCUGCAUCCCGGAGGCCAGGCGAGGGGCUGCUACACAGAGGGCGAGCAACAAGUACUGGCUGAGAGGGAGCGAAAAAGAGACCACUGGGAACAUUGAAGCUAAAAGUACCUGAAAAACAGCAGGUACAGGAUCACUCUGAAACCUCGUGACUUUCCUUUUCUUUUAUUGUUCUCUGUCUCUCUCUUCCUUCUUUCCUUCUUUCCUUCCUUCCUUCUUUGUUACCAGUACUGGGGAUUGAACCCAAGCUUUGCCCUGAGCUUUAUCCUCAACCCAUUUCUUGUCUUUUAUUUUGAGACAAGGUCUUGCUAAGUUGGCCGGGCUGGGUUCAAACUUGAGAUCCUCCUUCCUCGGCCUCCAAAAGUGCUGGAAUUACAGGCUGCACCCCAUAUCCAGCUCGUGACAUUUCUUUUCUUUCUUCUUUUUUUGGUACGGGGAUCGAACUCAGGACUUUGCACUUUCGAGGCAGGCGGCGGCACCACUGAGCUAAAUCUCUGCCCCCCCCCCCCGACAUUUCUUAAAAGCAGAAGAUGAAACUCCCACGGGAAAGAUGUGAAACCCAUUCCUCAAAGAUGACAGUGCUAAGAGGGAGAUGGGAGUGCAGUCUGCCACCCCUGCUAGGAAAUGUAUGAGCGAAUAAAUGAUUGAGUGAACUUUAAUGAAUGAACAAAGAAGUCAAAUAUUCAAUUCAUGUUUUUUAAAAAGUAAACUAAUCUAUUAAGAGCGCAAAGUUGUGAGGCUCUUCUGCCUAAUAGCAACAGCAAUCUGGCUCUUUAGAAAUGAAAAGCAGUCCUUCUCUGAGUCAGCAAUGUCUGGAGACAUUUUGGGCUGUCACACCUAGGGCAGGGGAGCUACUGGCAUGUAGCAAAGAGACGGGGGCUGCGGCUAAACAUCCUGCGCUGUCCAAGACACGCCCUGCCAGUAGUGCUGAGGCCAAGGGAGCUGCUCCCAUGUAGGGGCUGCAUGGGGACUUCGGUGGGGCCGGCACUGCCGGCUGCAGACUGCUGGCAGCAGAAGGUGCCACUGAGACAUUUACUCUAAUUCAAAGCAAAGAUUUGAAAAUUAAAGUGGACAGUGCUAUGGUUUGGAUUUGAAAUGCUCCUUAAAACCCACGUGUAAAGGCUGAGUGAUGGUCUUUUGAAGAAGUGAUUGGAUCCUGAGGGCUCUAACUUCAUCAAGUGGAUUAACCCGUUGACAGGAUCACAAUUUGAUGGCAUUAUUGAGAGGCAAUGGAAACAGAAGGCGAGGCCUCGUUGAAGGGAGUAGUUCAUGCGGUAUCACCUUGGAAACUGUAUCUGCUCCCCAGCCCCUUCUCUGGCUCUUUCCCAUUCUCUUUCCUUCUCAGUUGCUGUGCUAUGAGCAGCUCUCCUCUACCACACCCUUCCAUCAUGAUGUUUCUGCCUCGCCUCAGGCCUAAAACAAUGGAGCAGCUGACCAUGGACUGAACCUCUAAAACCGUAGCAGCCACCUCUGAGGCAGCAUGCUUGGGACCCCCGUGUCCAGUGUUGAAGGGGCAACUCUGAAGAUGGAUGGAUGUAUAGGAUCCAACCUGCAAGUUUAUUGCUGACAGGGGGUCGAAUGAGGACUGAAGACAAAAGACACAGAGAUCAUGUGGAAGAGGAGGCACUUGGGGCUUUCCCGCAAUGGACAGUGAGCCCCCAACUGACAGUGCUCACUUGUAUUAGACUCGCACAAAGAAGAAACACAGGAGCAUGUGAUCCAGGGUUCCGGGAAAGUUCACCAGGUUCUCAUAACUGGCAGUCUGUACCUGGAUGUGUAUGUUCUCUCAUCAGACUUGGGCUGUAGUUGUUUCUUUCCUUGAAACUGGCUGAUGCCAGCAUGCUAGCGAACAGCCCAAGGGGGGAAGGGCUUGCUAUCCUCUUCCAGCGUCUCAAGGAGAGCUCAACUCAGGCCUCAUCUCACAGCUGCUUUCCCACACUGACGCCUCCAAGUGAGAACGCUGGAUGAUACGAAAGGCCGAAGGGGAUGUCGUGGAGAGGAGCCACCUCGCUCCUGUGGGAGAACCGACACCAGAGCCCAGACACACUGAAGGUGGUCACAGGGAAACAGGAGGACACCGGUGUGGUUUUGGAGUCACUGAACUGCGUAAAGCUGGAAACUGACCUGGAAAGGAGGUUGCAUGCAGGGGCCAGUGACUCCAGUGCACAAGGAAAACAGCAGAACCUGGAUUUGACCAACUGCCCGUGGCACACCUGCACGGCCACCUCUGAGGCGAGCUCCUGCCACCCCUGGUCUGCUCCAAGCUAUGGAGCAGGAGCUGUUUGUACAGUAGUCUCACAAGGCAGCCAUGGCCAGACCCCCAGGAAACCCAGAAUGACAACCCAGCCUGGUGGAACCCAAAGGACUCCCUCUGGAAAGGCCAAACAAGACAGAAACUGGUGGUGUUGGGGGAGACCCUGCACAGAGACAACAUUUACAAAGCGCACAGUAACAAUACUUGUGUCACUGUGACAGAAUAAAUAGACAAUUGCUUAAAAAAAUAAACCUUGCCCGGGCUAUUUUCCAGGAACCUCACAUCCAGAGAACACUUUGGAUUGAGAAUGCAUCAUUCUCAGCCUCAAGGGCCCCCCUGCUCCAGGAAGUCCACUCUGAUUCCCCAGCCAGAGAUGCUCCUCUGAGUCCCCUCGGACUCCACAGGCCCCUCUGGGACAUUGUCACCAAUCCUCACACCCUAUCAGUAGUCAGACACCUCCUCUGAGUCCUGUGUCCACAGCGAUCACUACUGCGUGCGUUUACUCAGUGUUUGCCAGUAACUCUCACACCUGCUGUAGCAACAAUAAAGCCCAACAUCUAGAGGGUUGACACGGGGACAAGCCCUGCACUAGAGCUUCCUGUGACCCCUACUCAGCAGUGGGAGAUGAGUGCGACUUUCACGUCUCACGUCCGCUCCACAGAUGUAAAAGUCGACACAGCUAUUGUAGACUGCUGAAUGUUCCCGACACGCGUUCUAUUCUUUUUGCUUUCUGUAUACGUCAGCAUAGGACAGGCUUUGCUCAGGUAACAAAUAAACAACAAAACCUCAGCGGAUUAAUGACAUUGGCUUUAUUUCUUGCUCACACCACAGUUGGCUUUGAGUCUGCGGCCCUUGUCCAUGAUAAGGCCAAGUCUUUCUGGAAUGUUUGCCCUCCGUGCCCAGGGCUGGAGAAGUGAGUUUGGAGGACAUACCCUGCUGUUAAUUGCCUUGUCUGGAGGUGACCCCCACUCCCUCUCAUGGCCCCAGGGCCCCAGCCAUACUGGAAGGAGUCUGCGACACACAGGACUGUGCUAGCUUCCCAUCACUGUGAAAAAACACUGUGAAAAUCAUCUUAAAGGAGGAAAGGUUCAUUUUGGCUGACAGUUUCAGCCCAUGACUGGCUGGCUCCAUUGCUUCCUGUGGGGAGGCACAACAUCAUGGUGGCGGAGUAUGUAGCGGAGGAGGCUGCUCACCUCAUGGUGGCCAGGAAGGAAAGGAGGGAGGGAGGGAGGAAGGGAGGCUCCAAUAAACCCUUCAAGGGCACCUCCCUGCCCACCUACUAAAGGUUCCACCAACCUCCCAGGAGCACCACAGGCUGGUGGCCAAGCUUACAGCACAGGAGCCUUUGGGGUCGUUCCAGACCCAAACCCUAGCAGGGACCAGUCCAUGUUGGGUGGGAUACUCUGGCUCUGCCAGUUCUGUUCUGAGUGGUAGUGUGUCCUGCUAAGACACCAUGUUUUGGGUCUCCCAUGCUCCAUCAGCAGUCAUCCAGGAGAGUUUUCCUUCCCCACACUUACACCACCCCUUCCUCCUCCAUCCUUCCUUCUUCAGCUUCCUUUUCAGAACACAGAUACAGCAUUGGAGAGAGAGGGCAGCCACACUUGAGUGAAGAGGAAGCCGCAUGAGAAUGAGAGAUACAAUUUAAAGAUGGUGGAGCCCAAGAACCAGAGUUGGGACAAGGAAGUCUCCUGGAGCCGUGCUCAGUGCUGCCCCCACAGCUGAGACACUGUGAUUGCUCUCUCCUGCUGGGGACCUGAGAGCAGCUGCCAAGGGAGCUAGGACCCAGGACCCAGGCCUCUGCUCCUGUUGGGAUGGCCAACAAGAGGCUUCCCUGUACCCACUCCCUAUUCCUGGCCACUGGUUUGAGCUCCUUCCCUUUUCCCUCAGGCUUGGGGUGGGUAGCAGCUUUCUCUUGAGCUACUUUGUGCUUUACCACCCCUUCCUGGUCUUCUAAUCCUACCCAGACCAUUCCUGAUGGUUCCUCCAUUCAGCCAUCUGCACCCUAGCCUUUGAGCUGCCAUGUGGUUCAUGGCAAAACAGAUCUGUCUCCCUACGUCUUCUACCCUUUGGUCUUCAUUCUGCACUCUGGAAGAAUGAAGACCUUCCAUUGAAGUUUCUGUGCCAGGCAGACUUAAUUUCAUGUCUAGAUUCUAUUAUGCUAAGGAGUUCAAUCAUGUGCCUACAAUUACCCAGCUGAUAUUUCCCAGUUUUGGCAUCUGUUAUGUGGGGAUAAUACCAGAAUUUCAGGGGACUAUUGUGAUUCAACAAAGUCAGCAAAACAAAACCAGGGAAAUCUGAACUUCAGAUCAAUGAAUAAUUUUUGCUGUAACUAUUUGUGCAAUGUUCAUACUUUAAAAAUAGCAUGGUGUUUAUCUGAGAUACAGAUGUAACUGGGUGUUCUGUAUCUUCCCGGGAGCUCCUGUAACUGUGAGGUACACGUGGCUCCCCUCUGCCCACACACAUUCUCUCUCCUUAACCUCCAGCGAAUGGUAGCAGCUAAUCUUAAUCCCUGCAUUCCUGCCCUUAACACAGUACUUGACAUCCUCUCAAAAACAGCAAAAUCACUGAAAAACAAAGUGAAUGAACAGAGGAACUGAGAACCGGGGGGAGGCAAUUUGUGAGAGGCAGGAGAUGCUCAGUUGGAAAGUGGCAAAGUGUCUAGAACUUCUAGCCAAUGUUCCACACAUCACAUUAAAGAUUUUUAUUUAUUUA